UGGGGAAUAUUGCACAAUGGGCGCAAGCCUGAUGCAGCCAUGCCGCGUGUGUGAAGAAGGCCUUCGGGUUGUAAAGCACUUUCAGCGAGGAGGAAGGUGGUGAGCUUAAUACGCUCAUCAAUUGACGUUACUCGCAGAAGAAGCACCGGCUAACUCCGUGCCAGCAGCCGCGGUAAUACGGAGGGUGCAAGCGUUAAUCGGAAUUACUGGGCGUAAAGCGCACGCAGGCGGUUUGUUAAGUCAGAUGUGAAAUCCCCGGGCUCAACCUGGGAACUGCAUUUGAAACUGGCAAGCUAGAGUCUCGUAGAGGGGGGUAGAAUUCCAGGUGUAGCGGUGAAAUGCGUAGAGAUCUGGAGGAAUACCGGUGGCGAAGGCGGCCCCCUGGACGAAGACUGACGCUCAGGUGCGAAAGCGUGGGGCAGCAAACAGGAUUAGAUACCCUGGUAGUCCACGCUGUAAACGAUGUCGAUUUGGAGGUUGUGCCCUUGAGGCGUGGCUUCCGGAGCUAACGCGUUAAAUCGACCGCCUGGGGGAG
RNAcentral lists this ribosomal RNA (535 nucleotides) under uncultured bacterium. RNAcentral's name for it is "partial 16S ribosomal RNA". It matches the Rfam family "Bacterial small subunit ribosomal RNA", at positions 355 to 881 of the family's 1533-position model. The record is from RNAcentral.